This 468-nucleotide ribosomal RNA is filed under the name uncultured bacterium. RNAcentral describes it as "partial 16S ribosomal RNA". It matches the Rfam family "Bacterial small subunit ribosomal RNA", at positions 28 to 507 of the family's 1533-position model. The record is from RNAcentral.
GACGAACGCUGGCGGCGUGCUUAACACAUGCCAGUCGAACGGAAAGGCCCUGCUUUUGUGGGGUGCUCGAGUGGCGAACGGGUGAGUAACACGUGAGUAACCUGCCCUUGACUUUGGGAUAACUUCAGGAAACUGGGGCUAAUACCGGAUAGGAGCUCCUGCUGCAUGGUGGGGGUUGGAAAGUUUCGGCGGUUGGGGAUGGACUCGCGGCUUAUCAGCUUGUUGGUGGGGUAGUGGCUUACCAAGGCUUUGACGGGUAGCCGGCCUGAGAGGGUGACCGGGGACAAGGGGACUGAGAGACGGAGCAGACGGCAACGGGAGGCAGCAGUGGGGAAUAUGGCACAAUGGGCGGGAGCCUGAUGCAGCAACGCCGCGUGCGGGAAGACGGCCUGCGGGGUGUAAACAGCUGUCGCCUGUGACGAAGCGUGAGUGACGGUAAUGGAUGAAGAAGCACCGGCUAACUACGUG